GAAUAUUGCGCAAUGGAGGGAACUCUGACGCAGCGACGCCGCGUGAGCGAUGAAGGUCNUCGGAUNGNAAAGCUCUGUCUAGAGGNCUGAAACAUGACAGUACCUCUGGAGGAAGCCCCGGCUAACUACGUGCCAGCAGCCGCGGUAAUACGUAGGGGGCAAGCGUUGUCCGGAUUUACUGGGCGUAAAGGGCGCGUAGGCGGUAGUAUAAGUCAGAUGUGAAAGUCCAGGGCUCAACCGUGGAAUUGCAUUUGAAACUGUGCUACUUGAGUGCAGGAGAGGAGAGCGGAAUUCCUAGUGUAGCGGUGAAAUGCGUAGAGAUUAGGAAGAACACCAGUGGCGAAGGCGGCUCUCUGGACUGUAACUGACGCUGAGGCGCGAAAGCGUGGGUAGCGAAC
Molecule: ribosomal RNA, 398 nt
Filed under: uncultured bacterium
Lineage: Bacteria
Description: partial 16S ribosomal RNA
Rfam family: Bacterial small subunit ribosomal RNA
Source: RNAcentral